RNAcentral lists this ribosomal RNA (372 nucleotides) under Orthodera sp. MN033. RNAcentral's name for it is "partial 12S ribosomal RNA". The record is from RNAcentral. Lineage: Eukaryota; Metazoa; Arthropoda; Insecta; Mantodea; Mantidae.
AUACCCUAUUAUUUUUAUAGUAAAAUUAUAAAAUCAGAGUAGUAGUAGUUAUGAUCUUGAAACUUAAAGAAUUUGGCGGUAUUAUAGUCUAUUUAGAGGAAUCUGUUAUGUAAUCGAUAGCCCACGUUGAACCUUACUUAUAUUAUUUCUUGUAUACCGCUGUUUAAGAAUAUUCUUUUAGGAUAUUUUCCGGAUAUAAAAAUAAUUAAAAUUUCAAGUCAAGGUGCAGUAAUAUAUAAGUUGAAUAAUGGAUUACAAUAAAUUUUAUUUAUUAUGGAUAAUUAUUAAAAGGUAAUUUGAAGGUGGAUUUAAUUGUAAUUUUAUAAAGAUUAUUAAAAUGAUUUAUAGCUCUAUGAUAUGCACACAUCGCCC